UACGAAGGGGGCUAGCGUUGCUCGGAAUUACUGGGCGUAAAGGGCGCGUAGGCGGACAGUUUAGUCAGAGGUGAAAGCCCAGGGCUCAACCUUGGAAUUGCCUUUGAUACUGGCUGUCUUGAGUGCGGGAGAGGUGUGUGGAACUCCGAGUGUAGAGGUGAAAUUCGUAGAUAUUCGGAAGAACACCAGUGGCGAAGGCGACACACUGGCCCGUAACUGACGCUGAGGCGCGAAAGCGUGGGGAGCAAACAGG
RNAcentral lists this ribosomal RNA (253 nucleotides) under uncultured bacterium. RNAcentral describes it as "partial 16S ribosomal RNA". It matches the Rfam family "Bacterial small subunit ribosomal RNA", at positions 524 to 776 of the family's 1533-position model. The record is from RNAcentral.